CAGCCCCUUUCCCAGCCCCUUCCCUGCCGUGCUCAUGGCAGGCUGUGUUUGUGCUCUGUCCUGCCAGGGCAAACCCUGCUCAGCUCAGGGCUGGCAUGGGCAGAGGUUCUCCUGGAGCCUGGCUGUGGGGAUGCACAUGGACAUGGAGGAGACAGGGCCUGGCAUGAUGCAGGAGGAGGAGGAGAAGGCUCCCAGCCUCUCCUCAGUGCUCCUGAGCCAGACCACGUUGCUGGAGCAGCAUCCGUGCAAGGAGCGAUGUUCCCCUGCCAUCCCCAGUGCCACCAGGUUGUCCCUGAGCACUCCAGAGUGGGUAAUUUUAUCCCAAAUGUGCCUGUCUAAAAAUAUCUCACUUCUGUGUUUUUUGACCAUAUGCCCAGGACCAUGAAAAUUUUUCCGUAGGAAAAAAAGCUGAAAAAAACCCUUAAACCCAUAACAUCUUGGAAUGAUUUGACCACUUUCUUCUCAGGACAUUCCCUCCUUUUUUAUGCCAUGAUGGGGUUUCUCCUGAAUUUAAAACAUCAAUUUGGCCUAACAUGAGGAGAGUGUUCAUUCUUCCAAACCAUAAAGAUCAGAGACUAUAAACUGUUGUUCCUUAAAUGUUUCAUGGCAAAAGGCAUUCAAAGCGUAACAUUAACACAAAGUUUUCCUGUAAAACAAUCUGGGAAGUGUAAUCUCUGUAAGAGGUUUUUUAUGCACCAUGGCUAAUUGUUCCUGACAGUAUGAUUUUACAUCAGGCAUUUUUUGUAAAUUCAACACCAUUCGAACUUUAUGGCAGGUAAUAUUCCUUACAACUCCUCAAAUCCUGCCCAUGUCUAAAUUAUUGUUGCAGAGUGAUGUCUGGGGGGCUUUUUUUUUUUUUUUUUUUUUUUAGCUGCCAAAUAUUGGGAGCAAAUUCUCUCUUGUCUCGCAGUUGUGGCAUUGGGAACAACUUUAUGGAAUUCUUCCACUCCUCUCUGUGGUGUCAGAAGGAGUUUUCACACCUUUAGCACACAUCAAAGUGCAAAGGGUUUGUGCCUGGGGGCACAGCAGGAUUGUGGUCACCUCUGGAUGGAGGAGGAUGGAGAUGUUCCCAGCCUGGGAUGCUGAGUCUGUGACUCAUUAAAAUUCAGAUUCUAAAGCUGUUUGAAGUGUCAGGGUUUUACAGAGCCUGGCUCGAGGGUUUUACCUCACCUGGUGUUCACCUGAGGGUGAGCAGGAGCCAGGUGCUGCCAUUCCACAGAACCGUGGAACGUUUGGGGUCACAAAGAACCUUAGAGACCAACUCUACCAUGGGCAGGACACCUUCCACUAGGGCUCCAAGCCCUGUCCAGUGUGGCUUUGGACACUGCUGAUGCCUCUCCAAGCAGUGUUGUGCCAUUUUCCCCAAAACUUUUUCCUCUCAUCCACACCUUUGAGUGACAUUUCCACAUCCACUGGGCCUUUGGUCCAGCCUGCUUUGCCAAGCUGACUGACCUGUGCAUGAGUCUGAUCCAUGUGCACACACAUGAAAAAACUCCUUUUGACCAACUCAUUCUACCUUAUAAAAUAUGGGUUAUAAAAUGUUUAUGGGGCCUGUUCCUGCGAGGGGCUCAUUCCAAAGCGCACUACGCAAAACCCCGCUCUUUUAUGGCAUGGCAGAAAAGGGGCUCAGUCUGUGCCCCCCCCAGCAUCCAGAGAUGGGACUGGCCUUCCAAAUGGACCACACAGCCUUGCCAGGGUUGCUCCCAGGGCAGCAAGUGAAUUUGUGCCUGGGGUUAAUUGACAAGUGAGGAAACACUGGUUCUUUCUGCUGGAAAUUCCCCGUCGCCCCAGCCAUGAGGAGCUCCACAAGAAAAGUCAAAAAGGAGGUCCUCCCAGGUGGCUUCACCCAGCUCGGGUCACUCAGAGGAGGGAAGGAAGCUCCAGAGGAUUGGGAGGAGCACGUGGACUCAUCUCCUCCUCAAAAAGGGAAUUUAACUCCUGGCACUUCCUGUACCUGAGGGCAAUAAUAAAUGUCCAGAGUGUGACAUUUAUGAAAAUUAGAAAGUAAAUCAGAUUCAAUGCUGUGAACAUAUAAAACACUUCACCUGGAGGCUCAGACCGAAUCAAAAUAGCUUUCAGUCCACCCAUCCCCUAAACACUUGAACUGGAGUUCCAUCUCCCACCCUGCUCUUUGUUCUCCCUGAAACUCCCCCACCUCCUGCCCUUUGAUCCUACCCAGAGAUGACCUUGACCUGCUGGAGAGACCCUGCUGCCCUCCCUGCUUUCAAGUUUUCCCUCAGACAUUGAACUCCACUCCUGGUUUGGAGAUCUAACAAGGAGCUGUUUCUGCAGGUGCAGCUGCUUCCAAAACGCCACUGAUUGAUUCUGGAAUAAUUUAUUGAAUUAAAUUUUAUUUCAUUCACAGUAUUA
Molecule: long non-coding RNA, 2370 nt
Organism: Passer domesticus (house sparrow)
Lineage: Eukaryota; Metazoa; Chordata; Aves; Passeriformes; Passeridae
Exons: 2
Source: RefSeq, a predicted model, not a curated record